GUGAGGAAUAUUGCGCAAUGGAGGCAACUCUGACGCAGCCAUGCCGCGUGCAGGAAGAAGGCGCUACGCGUUGUAAACUGCUUUUAACCGGGAAGAAACCCCAGGACGUGUCCUGGGUUGACGGUACCGGAGGAAUAAGCACCGGCUAACUUCGUGCCAGCAGCCGCGGUAAUACGAAGGGUGCAAGCGUUAUCCGGAUUCAUUGGGUUUAAAGGGUGCGUAGGCGGAGCGUUAAGUCAGUGGUGAAAUCCUGCAGCUUAACUGUAGACUUGCCAUUGAUACUGGCGCGCUUGAGUGCGCUUGAAGUGGGCGGAAUGUGCCGUGUAGCGGUGAAAUGCAUAGAUAUAACACAGAACACCAAUUGCGAAGGCAGCUUACUGGGAUGCAACUGACGCUGAGGCACGAAAGCGUGGGGAUCAAACAGGAUUAGAAACCCCAGUAGUCC
This 445-nucleotide ribosomal RNA is filed under the name uncultured bacterium. RNAcentral describes it as "partial 16S ribosomal RNA". It matches the Rfam family "Bacterial small subunit ribosomal RNA", at positions 354 to 796 of the family's 1533-position model. The record is from RNAcentral.